AAGGGGCGGGGCCUGUGGAAAGGGCGGUCUGGCGGGGAGGCCCCGGUGAGGCUGCGGGGGCGUGGGGUCAGGAGUUCCCGGUUGGUGCGGCGGUCCCGGCCGACAGUCUGUGACACCUCCGCCCAGCCGCGGCGGGGAGAGGCCCAUCGGGGCGCGCCUGCUGCCCCUGGCGGCCCUCUCGAGGGGCUUUGGCAGGAAGAACGCCCAGAUCCUCCGCUCCCGGAGGGCGCAAUCCCCGGGGCGUCGUAGCAGCACAAUCAGAUCAGCCGAACCAGGCCAGCUUGUCUGGUGCGAUGUCGCCCCAGACUGACCUCCUUUCGGCCAUGCAGGGUGGGAGGAGAGGAUCAAGUGAAGUAACGUCUGUGAAAACCCUUCGUGGAUAACGCAUCCGCCUCCACACCUAAGUUCCCGACAUUAAAAUGGAGACAGCAAAGCCAGCCCUACCUAAUCCUUGGGGCUUGUCCUGAGCUGAGAAAAUGAUGCAAUGUAUGAAAAACUGCUUGGACGGGAAAAAAGUACUGUGUGUUUUUGUAAGAUGUCAUUAAUUGACUUGAGAGUCUGAUUAAAUGCUCUCAAAUAAAAUGGAGGUAUAAAUGAAUGAGUAAAA
Equus caballus (horse) is the source of this 607-nucleotide long non-coding RNA. RefSeq lists it as uncharacterized. The record is from RefSeq and is a predicted model, not a curated record. NCBI's taxonomy places the organism in Eukaryota, Metazoa, Chordata, Mammalia, Perissodactyla, Equidae.